RNAcentral lists this ribosomal RNA (484 nucleotides) under uncultured bacterium. Its description in RNAcentral is "partial 16S ribosomal RNA". It matches the Rfam family "Bacterial small subunit ribosomal RNA", at positions 30 to 507 of the family's 1533-position model. The record is from RNAcentral.
AUUGAACGCUGGCGGCAGGCCUAACACAUGCAAGUCGAGCGGAUGAAGGGAGCUUGCUCCUGGAUUCAGCGGCGGACGGGUAAGUAAUGCCUAGGAAUCUGCCUGGUAGUGGGGGAUAACGUCCGGAAACGGGCGCUAAUACCGCAUACGUCCUGAGGGAGAAAGUGGGGGAUCUUCGGACCUCACGCUAUCAGAUGAGCCUAGGUCGGAUUAGCUAGUUGGUGGGGUAAAGGCCUACCAAGGCGACGAUCCGUAACUAGUCUGAGAGGAUGAUCAGUCACACUGGAACUGAGACACGGUCCAGACUCCUACGGGAGGCAGCAGUGGGGAAUAUUGGACAAUGGGCGAAAGCCUGAUCCAGCCAUGCCGCGUGUGUGAAGAAGGUCUUCGGAUUGUAAAGCACUUUAAGUUGGGAGGAAGGGCAGUAAGUUAAUACCUUGCUGUUUUGACGUUACCAACAGAAUAAGCACCGGCUAACUUCGUG